GGGACCUUCGGGCCUCGCGCGAUUGGAGCGGCUGAUAUCAGAUUAGGUUGUUGGUGAGGUAAAAGCUCACCAAGCCGACGAUCUGUAGCUGGUUUGAGAGAACGACCAGCCACACUGGGACUGAGACACGGCCCAGACUCCUACGGGAGGCAGCAGUGGGGAAUUUUGGACAAUGGGCGAAAGCCUGAUCCAGCAAUGCCGCGUGCAGGAAGAAGGCCUUCGGGUUGUAAACUGCUUUUGUACGGAACGAAAAGGUCUGCCCUAAUACGGCGGGCCCAUGACGGUACCGUAAGAAUAAGCACCGGCUAACUACGUGCCAGCAGCCGCGGUAAUACGUAGGGUGCGAGCGUUAAUCGGAAUUACUGGGCGUAAAGCGUGCGCAGGCGGUGAUGUAAGACAGUUGUGAAAUCCCCGGGCUCAACCUGGGAAUUGCNUCUGUGACUGCAUCGCUAGAGUACGGUAGAGGGGGAUGGAAUUCCGCGUGUAGCANUGAAAUGCGUAGA
RNAcentral lists this ribosomal RNA (503 nucleotides) under Comamonadaceae bacterium 18-09PB. Its description in RNAcentral is "bacterial SSU rRNA". It matches the Rfam family "Bacterial small subunit ribosomal RNA", at positions 202 to 694 of the family's 1533-position model. Lineage: Bacteria; Pseudomonadati; Pseudomonadota; Betaproteobacteria; Burkholderiales; Comamonadaceae. The record is from RNAcentral.